UACAGAAGAAGGUGUUGAUAAACAAGUUCGCGGAAAGUUGGGUUAUGAUUUACCAGGGUCCAUGCCCAAUCGUGGAAGGCCUAUUAUUCGAACAAAAUGCCUGAGAAUUGCACCCACUGGUAGGAACUUUUCUGUGGCAACAACGGAAGGAGUUCUAGUUUAUUCAAUUGAUGAAUCUUUUAUCUUUGAUCCCACGGAUCUUGACAUAGAUGUUAC
RNAcentral lists this unclassified non-coding RNA (216 nucleotides) under Hevea brasiliensis (rubber tree). Lineage: Eukaryota; Viridiplantae; Streptophyta; Magnoliopsida; Malpighiales; Euphorbiaceae. The record is from RNAcentral.